This 490-nucleotide ribosomal RNA is filed under the name uncultured bacterium. RNAcentral describes it as "partial 16S ribosomal RNA". It matches the Rfam family "Bacterial small subunit ribosomal RNA", at positions 30 to 507 of the family's 1533-position model. The record is from RNAcentral.
AUUGAACGCUGGCGGCAGGCCUAACACAUGCAAGUCGAACGGUAACAGGAAGCAGCUUGCUGCCUUGCUGACGAGUGGCGGACGGGUGAGUAAUGUCUGGGAAACUGCCCGAUGGAGGGGGAUAACUACUGGAAACGGUAGCUAAUACCGCAUAACGUCGCAAGACCAAAGAGGGGGACCUUAGGGCCUCUUGCCAUCGGAUGUGCCCAGAUGGGAUUAGCUAGUAGGUGGGGUAACGGCUCACCUAGGCGACGAUCCCUAGCUGGUCUGAGAGGAUGACCAGCCACACUGGAACUGAGACACGGUCCAGACUCCUACGGGAGGCAGCAGUGGGGAAUAUUGCACAAUGGGCGCAAGCCUGAUGCAGCCAUGCCGCGUGUAUGAAGAAGGCCUUCGGGUUGUAAAGUACUUUCAGCGGGGAGGAAGGGAGUAAAGUUAAUACCUUUGCUCAUUGACGUUACCCGCAGAAGAAGCACCGGCUAACUCCGUG